RNAcentral lists this ribosomal RNA (253 nucleotides) under uncultured bacterium. Its description in RNAcentral is "partial 16S ribosomal RNA". It matches the Rfam family "Bacterial small subunit ribosomal RNA", at positions 524 to 776 of the family's 1533-position model. The record is from RNAcentral.
UACAGAGGUCUCAAGCGUUGUUCGGAUUCAUUGGGCGUAAAGGGUGCGUAGGUGGCGCGCUAAGUCAGGUGUGAAAUCUCGGGGCUUAACUCCGAAACUGCAUUUGAUACUGGCGUGCUUGAGGACUGGAGAGGAGACUGGAAUUCCUGGUGUAGCGGUGGAAUGCGCAGAUAUCAGGAGGAACACCGAUGGCGAAGGCAGAUCUCUGGGCCGUAACUGACGCUGAGGAGCGAAAGCAUGGGGAGCGAACAGG